GCCGACAUAGCUCAGAUGGAAGAGCGCCGUUCUUGUAAUUCGGAUGUCGCGGGUUCGAUCCCUGCUGUCGGCUCCA
Molecule: transfer RNA, 76 nt
Filed under: compost metagenome
Description: tRNA-Thr
Rfam family: tRNA
About the family: Transfer RNA (tRNA) molecules are approximately 80 nucleotides in length. Their secondary structure includes four short double-helical elements and three loops (D, anti-codon, and T loops).
Source: RNAcentral